GUUGUAGCUCAGUGGUAUAGCAUCUGUUCUGCAUGCAGAAGAUUUCUGGUCCUAUCCCAGGCAUCUUCA
This is a non-coding RNA of Podarcis lilfordi (Lilford's wall lizard), 69 nucleotides long. NCBI's taxonomy places the organism in Eukaryota, Metazoa, Chordata, Lepidosauria, Squamata, Lacertidae. The record is from the annotation of a GenBank genome assembly.